Molecule: ribosomal RNA, 492 nt
Filed under: uncultured bacterium
Lineage: Bacteria
Description: partial 16S ribosomal RNA
Rfam family: Bacterial small subunit ribosomal RNA
Source: RNAcentral
AGUGAACGCUGGCGGUAGGCCUAACACAUGCAAGUCGAACGGCAGCACAGUAAGAGCUUGCUCUUACGGGUGGCGAGUGGCGGACGGGUGAGGAAUACAUCGGAAUCUACUUUUUCGUGGGGGAUAACGUAGGGAAACUUACGCUAAUACCGCAUACGACCUACGGGUGAAAGCAGGAGAUCUUCGGACCUUGCGCGUUUGAAUGAGCCGGUGUCGGAUUAGCUAGUUGGCGGGGUAAAGGCCCACCAAGGCAACGAUCCGUAGCUGGUCUGAGAGGAUGAUCAGCCACACUGGAACUGAGACACGGUCCAGACUCCUACGGGAGGCAGCAGUGGGGAAUAUUGGACAAUGGGCGCAAGCCUGAUCCAGCAAUACCGCGUGAGUGAAGAAGGCCUUCGGGUUGUAAAGCCCUGUUGUUGGGAAAGAAAAGCAGUAGGUUAAUACCUCGCUGUUCUGACGGUACCCAAAGAAUAAGCACCGGCUAACUUCGUG